GGCCGUAACUAUAACGGUCCUAAGGUAGCGAAAUUCCUUGUCGGGUAAGUUCCGACCUGCACGAAUGGCGUAAUGAUGGCCAGGCUGUCUCCACCCGAGACUCAGUGAAAUUGAACUCGCUGUGAAGAUGCAGUGUACCCGCGGCAAGACGGAAAGACCCCGUGAACCUUUACUAUAGCUUGACACUGAACAUUGAGCCUUGAUGUGUAGGAUAGGUGGGAGGCUUUGAAGCGUGGACGCCAGUCUGCGUGGAGCCGACCUUGAAAUACCACCCUUUAAUGUUUGAUGUUCUAACGUGGAYCCGURAUCCGGGUUGCGGACAGUGUCUGGUGGGUAGUUUGACUGGGGCGGUCUCCUCCUAAAGAGUAACGGAGGAGCACGAAGGUUGGCUAAUCCUGGUCGGACAUCAGGAGGUUAGUGCAAUGGCAUAAGCCAGCUUGACUGCGAGCGUGACGGCGCGAGCAGGUGCGAAAGCAGGUCAUAGUGAUCCGGUGGUUCUGAAUGGAAGGGCCAUCGCUCAACGGAUAAAAGGUACUCCGGGGAUAACAGGCUGAUACCGCCCAAGAGUUCAUAUCGACGGCGGUGUUUGGCACCUCGAUGUCGGCUCAUCACAUCCUGGGGCUGAAGUAGGUCCCAAGGGUAUGGCUGUUCGCCAUUUAAAGUGGUACGCGAGCUGGGUUUAGAACGUCGUGAGACAGUUCGGUCCCUAUCUGCCGUGGGCGCUGGAGAACUGAGGGGGGCUGCUCCUAGUACGAGAGGACCGGAGUGGACGCAUCACUGGUGUUCGGGUUGUCAUGCCAAUGGCACUGCCCGGUAGCUAAAUGCGGAAGAGAUAAGUGCUGAAAGCAUCUAAGCACGAAACUUGCCCCGAGAUGAGUUCUCCCUGAGACUUAGAGUCUCCUGAAGGAACGUUGAAGACGACGACGUUGAUAGGCCGGGUGUGUAAGCGCAGCGAUGCGUUGAGCUAACCGGUACUAAUGAACCGUGAGGCUUAACCUUACAACGCCGAAG
RNAcentral lists this ribosomal RNA (1011 nucleotides) under Salmonella enterica subsp. enterica serovar Infantis. RNAcentral describes it as "partial 23S ribosomal RNA". Lineage: Bacteria; Pseudomonadati; Pseudomonadota; Gammaproteobacteria; Enterobacterales; Enterobacteriaceae. The record is from RNAcentral.